UGGGGAAUAUUGCACAAUGGGCGCAAGCCUGAUGCAGCCAUGCCGCGUGUAUGAAGAAGGCCUUCGGGUUGUAAAGCACUUUCAGCGGGGAGGAAGGCGUUAAGGUUAAUAACCUUGGCGAUUGACGUUACCCGCAGAAGAAGCACCGGCUAACUCCGUGCCAGCAGCCGCGGUAAUACGGAGGGUGCAAGCGUUAAUCGGAAUUACUGGACGUAAAGCGCACGCAGGCGGUUUGUUAAGUCAGAUGUGAAAUCCCCGGGCUGAACCUGGGAACUGCAUCUGAUACUGGCAAGCUUGAGUCACGUAGAGGGGGGUAGAAUUCCAGGUGUAGCGGUGAAAGGCGUAGAGAUCUGGAGGAAUACCGGUGGCGAAGGCGGCCCCCUGGACGAAGACUGACGCACAGGUGCGAAAGAGUGGGGAGCAAACAGG
Molecule: ribosomal RNA, 429 nt
Filed under: Chloroflexota bacterium
Lineage: Bacteria; Bacillati; Chloroflexota
Description: Chloroflexi bacterium partial 16S ribosomal RNA
Rfam family: Bacterial small subunit ribosomal RNA
Source: RNAcentral